AACGGGUGAGUAACGCGUGAGUAACCUGCCCUGGAUGGGGGACAACAGUUGGAAACGACUGCUAAUACCGCAUAAGCCCACGAUCCGGCAUCGGAUUGAGGGAAAAGGAUUUAUUCGCUUCAGGAUGGACUCGCGUCCAAUUAGCUAGUUGGUGAGGUAACGGCCCACCAAGGCGACGAUUGGUAGCCGGACUGAGAGGUUGAACGGCCACAUUGGGACUGAGACACGGCCCAG
Molecule: ribosomal RNA, 234 nt
Filed under: uncultured Bacillota bacterium
Lineage: Bacteria; Bacillati; Bacillota
Description: uncultured Firmicutes bacterium partial 16S ribosomal RNA
Rfam family: Bacterial small subunit ribosomal RNA
Source: RNAcentral